GCACCUAGUUUACACCUAGAAGAUUUCACAUUAAAUGAGCACUUUGA
This 47-nucleotide transfer RNA is filed under the name Myotis keenii (Keen's myotis). Its description in RNAcentral is "partial tRNA-Val". The record is from RNAcentral. Lineage: Eukaryota; Metazoa; Chordata; Mammalia; Chiroptera; Vespertilionidae.